Molecule: long non-coding RNA, 220 nt
Organism: Sinocyclocheilus grahami
Lineage: Eukaryota; Metazoa; Chordata; Actinopteri; Cypriniformes; Cyprinidae
Exons: 3
Source: RefSeq, a predicted model, not a curated record
UGGUAAAGAACUUCAUGAUCCAGGGGGGUGAUUUCACUGAGGGCAAUGGAAGAGGAGGAGAAUCUAUAUAUGGUGGUUUCUUUGAAGAGAUUGUGGUCUUUUGCAAAAUGAGAAGGUAAGAGAUGUACACAGUGCAGUAACACAAUGUAGACUAAACUAGGGCUGUGCAAUUAAUCGCAGAUGAAUCGCAUUCGAUUAUGAAUGCGAUAUUGCCUAGCUU